RNAcentral lists this unclassified non-coding RNA (235 nucleotides) under uncultured Helotiales. RNAcentral's name for it is "sequence contains ITS1". The stretch from base 1 to 46 matches the Rfam family "Eukaryotic small subunit ribosomal RNA", at positions 1786 to 1831 of the family's 1831-position model. RNAcentral also lists the same sequence under 1 other name. Lineage: Eukaryota; Fungi; Ascomycota; Leotiomycetes; Helotiales. The record is from RNAcentral.
AAGUCGUAACAAGGUUUCCGUAGGUGAACCUGCGGAAGGAUCAUUACCGAGUUCAUGCCCUUCGGGGUAGAUCUCCCACCCUUUGUAUACUAUACCUCUGUUGCUUUGGCGGGCCGCCUAGCUACUGGCUUCGGCUGGUAAGUGCCCGCCAGAGGACCCAAAACCCUGAAUAUUAGUGUCGUCUGAGUAAAAAGUUUAAUAUUUAAAACUUUCAACAACGGAUCUCUUGGCUCUG